This is an RNA transcript of Schistocerca serialis cubense, 1319 nucleotides long. It is a transcript of the gene named biogenesis of lysosome-related organelles complex 1 subunit 4, with no coding region annotated. NCBI's taxonomy places the organism in Eukaryota, Metazoa, Arthropoda, Insecta, Orthoptera, Acrididae. The record is from RefSeq and is a predicted model, not a curated record. The transcript has 5 exons.
ACUACACUCUAUGGUCGCCGAUUGCGUCACGCGACGUGUUUAUGUUGUUGUUGUUGAACAGGUGUCUGUCAGUGGCAUAAAGUUUUGUUCUGUUAGAGCAAAGAUGAUAACCGACUUAGCAGAUGAUUACGCAUCAUACUUUAAACUUGAAGUAAAUAAAGAGAUAUCUCCAGUAAUGGAAACAAUAGAAGAUAUGUUAACUCGCCUGGAAGAGUUUGAAAGCCUGAUGGAUAUGGUGCGAACAGAUGUUACUCAGUCAGCUGUUGCCACAGUGCCAGAUAUUGUGGCCUGUAAGUCAGAACUGCGGACACUUUGUGAUCGUAUAGAUUGCCUUGAGGCACUGGUGACACGUGUGCGACGUGAUUUGGACACUGUCGAGUCUCAGCUUGACACUGCGGAAGCAACUGUUGGUGGUGAAGGUGUCAUAAGGAACAUGCUCAAGCCACUUUUUUUUAAGAACAUGAACAUCAUCUUGCAAGUAAAAAGCAGAAAUCAGAACCUCUCAGUUUAUAUGGUUACAGAAGCAAAGAAGGGAAGGCUGAAAGAUGGGUGGAACAUAUCUAAGGGCUGUACAAAUGAAACAAACUUGAAGACAGUGUUACAGAAAUGGAAGAAGAGUUAGAUGAAGAUGAAUUAUAAGAUGAUGAAGACAAUUAGGUGAAGAUAUGAUACUGGGAAAAGAGCAUUGAAAGACCUAGUCCAAACAAGACAUUCUCUCACAAUUUUUGAGGCCUUUGGGAGAACCAGUCAUGACAAAAUUAUUCCAUAUGGUAUGCAAGAUGUAUGAGGCAGGCAAAAAAUCCUUAGACUUCAAGAAGAGGGCAAUCAUUCCAAUUCCAAGAAAGAAAAAGUCUGAUCCACUGUCAAGGGCAGCCAGUUCUCCACCAUACCAGCCACCUGAAAUUUUCAAAACAGAUGACUAUUUUCCAAAAACUGAGGAGUCAGGAGCAGCAUCGAAUGAUUGAAGAUUUCUGUGGAGAGGCACUGCUACUGAUAUAUUUUUGUAUACAUUUAUGUAAAAGAACGUAACAUUUGAAUAUUUAGUCGAAUCUUGAGUUUUGUGAAUAUUUGAAGACAGUAUCUGAUAAUGUAACUGAUGUUUAUUUUCAAAUGAUUAAGGAUUUUGUUUUAUGUUAAACAAGAGUUACUGUUGUGAACACUACAUAGUGACAGCCUGUUCUCUGUCAUCCUGUUGCCAGAGGCAAGCAUGUGGUGCUGUAGAGCUUCCAGUCAGCUAGUCGGCAGAAAGCUUUGCAGCCUUUUGAUUUACAAAAACGAAAGUAAUUACAUUAUUAAAGAGAAUAAAAAAUAUUUCAUGA